Molecule: non-coding RNA, 156 nt
Filed under: bacterium
Lineage: Bacteria
Description: 6S RNA
Rfam family: 6S / SsrS RNA
About the family: E. coli 6S RNA was the first non coding RNA to be sequenced, but its function was unknown until recently. It consists of 184 nucleotides that fold into an extended hairpin structure with a large single-stranded internal bulge.
Source: RNAcentral
UAUCCUCUGCCGUGUUCGUCAGGGACGUCAAUUUUGGCGAACCGAUGUGCACCCGUAGGGAGCCGAUCGAGUUGAUUCCAGCGAGAAUGUGACUCUAGGCACCCACCUUAAAUGCGGGUUCUCAAAAACGUCCGCAACGGCAUUCGCGGAGGAUUC